AGCUCCAAUAGCGUAUAUUUAAGUUGUUGCAGUUAAAAAGCUCGUAGUUGGAUCUUGGGUCGUAAGGGUCGGUCCGCCUACUCGGUGUGCACCUGCCCUUCCGUCCUUUUUGUCGGCGGCGUGCUCCUGGCCUUAAUUGGCUGGGUCGCGGUUCCGGCGCUGUUACUUUGAAAAAAUUAGAGUGCUCAAAGCAAGCUUAUGCUCUGAAUACAUUAGCAUGGAAUAACGUGAUAGGAGUCUGGUCCUAUUGUGUUGGCCUUCGGGACCGGAGUAAUGAUUAAUAGGGACUGUCGGGGGCAUUCGUAUUUCAUUGUCAGAGGUGAAAUUCUUGGAUUUAUGAAAGACGGACCACUGCGAAAGCAUUUGCCAAGGAUGUUUUCAUUA
Molecule: ribosomal RNA, 384 nt
Filed under: Pinus sp.
Lineage: Eukaryota; Viridiplantae; Streptophyta; Pinopsida; Pinales; Pinaceae
Description: partial small subunit ribosomal RNA
Rfam family: Eukaryotic small subunit ribosomal RNA
Source: RNAcentral